CGCCACGGUCCAAUUAGCUGUGCUUAUUAGCCGGUAGCAGGAAGUGGCCAGUAUACAAAACUUGAGAGGAAACAGAUUGUAUUUCUGCUCCAGAGCCAACUACCAGCGCCGGAUUUUGUUGUCAUUAAGCUGUGUGUGACUGUAGAAGAGUUGGCCAGGCUUCUCUUUUUGAUGGCGAGCUAAGGAAAAGAAGCAUCUAGUCCAAGGAUGGUUCUUGGAAGAUUCCAGCCAGGGACCCCACCACCCGUUCUGCAGGGCCGAUACGGGACUGACUGAGAAGCCUGAUGGUGAUAAUCCCUCAGCAGUGUUGCCCAAGGGUCUGACACCCAGGUACCGACCGCUCUGUCUUCUUGUCGUGGUCGUGACAAAGAGGAAAUGUGCGUAUCCGUCAACAAAGGAGAUGUUUGAACCCUGAAGCCGGAGAGAAGGAAGCGAGGGUUGUGACAUUGAGGUGUAAUGGACACUGACGGCCCGGUUGUGCUUGGCUGCAAAGAGCACAUUUGACGGCGACUCAUUAAUUACCAGGAGCAAGGCAGCCAUCUGAAGCCUUCAUGUUGGCUGCCCAUCACCUGCUGCCGCUUACAAAUCAGCUCCUGGAAUGCAGAGAAUGGCAGCCACUGUCAGACUGUCAGCACCGCUUUGUCCUGGCGGGGAAGAACAGGCCAGAUUAGCCCAGCUACUGUUGGUCCGGGCCAGAACAGGACUUGUUACGACCCAGUGAUGAGCGGGGAAAGGUCAAACAAAAAAGUACAAAUACAAGAUUUCAGGAUCUGUUUUCUUGACAAACCACGCGAUGUAGGCUUGUACGGUUUACUGGUACUAAAAGUA
Molecule: long non-coding RNA, 828 nt
Organism: Entelurus aequoreus (snake pipefish)
Lineage: Eukaryota; Metazoa; Chordata; Actinopteri; Syngnathiformes; Syngnathidae
Exons: 4
Source: RefSeq, a predicted model, not a curated record